RNAcentral lists this ribosomal RNA (388 nucleotides) under uncultured organism. Its description in RNAcentral is "bacterial SSU rRNA". It matches the Rfam family "Bacterial small subunit ribosomal RNA", at positions 45 to 433 of the family's 1533-position model. The record is from RNAcentral.
UGCUUUACACAUGCAAGUCGAACGGCAGCACGGGAGCUUGCUCCUGGUGGCGAGUGGCGAACGGGUGAGUAAUGCAUCGGAACGUACCGUGUAAUGGGGGAUAACGCUUCGAAAGAGGUGCUAAUACCGCAUACGCCCUGAGGGGGAAAGCGGGGGAUCUUCGGACCUCGCGUUAUACGAGCGGCUGAUGCCGGAUUAGCUAGUUGGUGGGGUAAAGGCUCACCAAGGCGACGAUCCGUAGCUGGUCUGAGAGGACGACCAUCCACACUGGAACUGAGAUACGGGCCAGACUCCUACGGGAGGCAGCAGUAGGGAAUAUUGGGCAAUGGACGCAAUUCUGCCCCAGCCAUGCCGCGUGCAGGAUGAAGGCGUUAUGCGCUUUUCCUGC